AUUGAACGCUGGCGGCAGGCUUAACACAUGCAAGUCGAGCGGGGGAAGGUAGCUUGCUACCGGACCUAGCGGCGGACGGGUGAGUAAUGCUUAGGAAUCUGCCUAUUAGUGGGGGACAACAUCUCGAAAGGGAUGCUAAUACCGCAUACGUCCUACGGGAGAAAGCAGGGGAUCUUCGGACCUUGCGCUAAUAGAUGAGCCUAAGUCGGAUUAGCCAGUUGGUGGGGUAAAGGCCUACCAAGGCGACGAUCUGUAGCGGGUCUGAGAGGAUGAUCCGCCACACUGGGACUGAGACACGGCCCAGACUCCUACGGGAGGCAGUAGUGGGGAAUAUUGGACAAUGGGGGGAACCCUGAUCCAGCCAUGCCGCGUGUGUGAAGAAGGCCUUAUGGUUGUAAAGCACUUUAAGCGAGGAGGAGGCUACUUUAGUUAGUACCUAGAGAUAGUGGACGUUACUCGCAGAAUAAGCACCGGCUAACUCUGUGCCAGCCGCCGCCGUAA
This 501-nucleotide ribosomal RNA is filed under the name uncultured bacterium. Its description in RNAcentral is "partial 16S ribosomal RNA". It matches the Rfam family "Bacterial small subunit ribosomal RNA", at positions 30 to 523 of the family's 1533-position model. The record is from RNAcentral.